CCUACGGGUGGCUGCAGUGGGGAAUAUUGGACAAUGGGGGGAACCCUGAUCCAGCCAUGCCGCGUGUGUGAAGAAGGCCCUCGGGUUGUAAAGCACUUUCAGUGAGGAAGAACGCCUGGUGGUUAAUACCCAUCAGGAAAGACAUCACUCACAGAAGAAGCACCGGCUAACUCCGUGCCAGCAGCCGCGGUAAUACGGAGGGUGCGAGCGUUAAUCGGAAUUACUGGGCGUAAAGCGCGCGUAGGUGGCUUGAUAAGCCGGUUGUGAAAGCCCCGGGCUCAACCUGGGAACGGCAUCCGGAACUGUCAAGCUAGAGUGCAGGGGAGGAAGGUAGAAUUCCCGGUGUAGCGGUGAAAUGCGUAGAGAUCGGGAGGAAUACCAGUGGCGAAGGCGGCCUUCUGGACUGACACUGACACUGAGGUGCGAAAGCGUGGGUAGCAAACAGGAUGAGAUACCCUUGUAGUC
Molecule: ribosomal RNA, 465 nt
Filed under: Vreelandella stevensii
Lineage: Bacteria; Pseudomonadati; Pseudomonadota; Gammaproteobacteria; Oceanospirillales; Halomonadaceae
Description: partial 16S ribosomal RNA
Rfam family: Bacterial small subunit ribosomal RNA
Source: RNAcentral